GGGGAAUAUUGGACAAUGGGCGCAAGCCUGAUCCAGCCAUGCCGCGUGAGUGAUGAAGGCCCUAGGGUUGUAAAGCUCUUUCACCGGUGAAGAUAAUGACGGUAACCGGAGAAGAAGCCCCGGCUAACUUCGUGCCAGCAGCCGCGGUAAUACGAAGGGGGCUAGCGUUGUUCGGAAUUACUGGGCGUAAAGCGCACGUAGGCGGAUAUUUAAGUCAGGGGUGAAAUCCCGGAGCUCAACUCCGGAACUGCCUUUGAUACUGGGUAUCUCGAGUAUGGAAGAGGUGAGUGGAAUUCCGAGUGUAGAGGUGAAAUUCGUAGAUAUUCGGAGGAACACCAGUGGCGAAGGCGGCUCACUGGUCCAUUACUGACGCUGAGGUGCGAAAGCGUGGGGAGCAAAC
This 400-nucleotide ribosomal RNA is filed under the name uncultured bacterium. Its description in RNAcentral is "bacterial SSU rRNA". It matches the Rfam family "Bacterial small subunit ribosomal RNA", at positions 356 to 773 of the family's 1533-position model. The record is from RNAcentral.